Long non-coding RNA from Macaca fascicularis (crab-eating macaque), 3094 nucleotides. NCBI's taxonomy places the organism in Eukaryota, Metazoa, Chordata, Mammalia, Primates, Cercopithecidae. The record is from Ensembl.
UUUUUUUUUUUUCUGCUUUUUUUUUUCUUUCUCACAAACUGGUUGUAUUUGUUGAUUUAUUUUUCCAUCCUUUUCACCAGUAAAGAUUAUCAUCAUUUAUUUUUGUUUUUAAAGUUGAAACCAAAAAAGAGGAGAGAACAGAGUUAUGGUAUGAAUGUAUGUAAAACUACAGAGAACUACAGUAAUAUGUACUGUGGUUAUUGCUGUCUUCAAAAAAAACAAAACAAAACAAAACAACAACAACAACAACAAACAACCGGUAGGCAACUCGGAAUCUGAAGGAAUCUUGUCUGACAACUGUGCUAUCCAUGUGGGCUACUGUGUGACAGUGGCAGUGGAGAGGAGACUCCGGCUGGUGACUGGGGACCGGUGGAGUGGGGUGAGCGGGCACAGGGAGGCUGGGGUCCCCUUCCCUCGGACCCCCCCACCUUCCCUUUCCCCAUCCAAAAGGAUUUCAGGAGAGGAGGCCAGAGUCUGUGAAAUGACUAAACUAUAUACUCCAUUAGAAAACCAAGAAAAUAUGUUUUAAAAUAGAAACAAAAGCCUAAGAGAAAAUAAAAAGUGGAGAAACAGUGCAACAUAAUUCUUGCACUUUAGUGGUUUUAAAAACACAGACAGUACAAGGCCCGGGUUGCUGGUUGGUGAAACCCCCGUCCCUCGUCCCUCCUCCACUUUGCAAAACGGAGCCUCCUUUCUCCUGGAAGCCAGACGUGUCCUCUCUGAUGCUAUGGGGUUUCUUCUCCUUAGAGCUCUUCUCUGAGGUUCCCAUCCUGGGCUGGAGCCCUCUCAGGGGUGAGUGGAUGGGUCCGGGGUACUGUCCCACCUUAAGGGGGGGCUUGGCGGUUGCCGUGGCAGCCCUGUCUCGCUAAGCGCUGGGUGGUGGGAGCAGGGUGGUUGAGGCCCACCCUCUAGGGGAGGCCAGCCCUGUGGGGGUACCAUGGAGGCCACAGAGGUGGUGGGGGGGAGAUGGGGUGAGAGAGAAGAGGCAUGAUCAGAAAAGGGCCUCCCUGGACCUCGUGCGCCUGCCUUCCUCCCCGUAUGGGGCCAGUGUCCCCAGGCCUGUCUGUCUAGGCCUGGCUGUCAGAGAAAGGUUCCAGUCUCUUCCUCCCCACGUGCCCUGCUUUGCCAGGUGGGUCGGGGCAGGCUGGAGGAAGGAGGGUCCGUCCUGGCUGGGCUUCCCUAUCUCCUGGCAGUCGUGGGAAAGACAGAGGAUCUUCACCACUGCUGGAGUGAGGCACGAGUCUAAAGCGGAUGGGAGAGACCUUCUGUGGGUCUCUUCUGUGGGUGUGAGUGUGGGAGUGGGCAGCACUUAGACCCAGAGCCAUGGAUAGCCUGGAGUCCAAGGUCUCUGGGUGAGCAGGCAGUCGGCCAAAGGCCAGCCUGGAGUCAAAGAGAGCCCUGCUUAAUUGCCACGCCCACACCAUUCCAAACCUGCCUACCUUGCACCCUGCCACGGGGGAAGAGGUGCCGUCUUCCUCCAGUGCUUCCCUUCCCAGGGUCUCCCACCCUGGGCCCAGCCAGACCUCCCAUUUGGGAGGCUUAGUUCCAUGUGUCCAUGAAGGCCCAGCUUCUCUAGGGAGUGACCAACUGGCCAUGAGAAUCCCCUGCAUGCAGAAGAGACUCACAGGUUCGGGUUACCAGGCACGAACUUUGGAAACCGGAAGAGUCUGGCACACUCACACCAGGCUCUAAUCCCCCACCCGAUGGCUGGCAGCAAAAAGCCAAUGUGAGGGGCAGAAGCCCGCCCAAAGUCCAGACACAGUGGGCGAAGAGAGAGCCCCUCUCAGGUCCAGGCUGGGAGGAAUGUGGGGGGAGAUUGUAGUUCCUGGCUCAGUCUUUUCUUAGGGGAGUGGCACCCCAGUAUCCACUUGGCAGAUCCUAGUUGGAUAACUGCUCAAGAUGCAAAGGAAGAAUGGGUGGAAAGAACAGUGACGUGGAAGAGGUUUGGGAUACUGGCCUAAGACACACAGAAACGUGAGUUGGGUUUAGGGCACAGCUGUGCAGAGACAUGGGGCGUGCUGCCUCGGCAGGUCAAGUCCUUGUGGCUGCUGGCCCUAUCGGGCCCCUUUGUCUCAUGAAGAUUGAGCACUUCUCCUGUCCCCAGUCAACUGUCCUGUCCAGGGGCAUAGGAGAUAGCCCCCAAGUUCUAUAGCUAUAGGGUUCCCAUCAGUUGAAACAGAUUUGCUUUUUCACUAUUCCUCUUCAUAGCCCCAAAUUCGUUGUUGGAGGCAGUCUCCACUGUGUCAUGCCAUGAGCAAAGAGUGAAGAGAGCUGUGUCCGCAGCAUGAAGGGGUCUCCUUGGCCAGUGUCCAAGCCCCCUUUCCUGGAUAUCUUCAGCCUUAAAGAACAGUCACAAGGCCACCCACUGGUUGAGGAAGUCAUUGGAGAAUGGGAGUUUUCUUGGUUCGGAAUCUGGCUGCCGAGUGACAGCAUCCCUGAAUCAUGCGUUCCCUGCUUGUUCCGGCCCUCCUUCCACCCUCCACCCCAGGGAGGACGCAGGGACUGGCCAGAAUGGAGGAAGAGCCGGAAAGACUCGUGGGCCUCCGUGCCUCCUUGCAGGCUGAAGGUGGGCAGUGGAGCGCAUAGUCUUGUCCCUUCCAAAGCAUGGCCAGUUUCGACUGAUUCUUCCUAUCUGGCUUCUAAAGUCUAGCAUCCUCCUAAAGUUACCCACCUUCCCUGGCUCUGUGGCCUGGAUUAAGUUCAUUUCUAUUUUGCAACCCAUUCCCCCAUUUUCCUCUCUUUCCUCUCGAAUCCCAGAAAACAUACAGGGUGGGGAAGCUAAAGAGGUUUCUAUCGGCUUUUUCCCCUUUCUGCUGCUUUGUGCCAAAGCUAGAAUGGAACAGUCCCUUCAGCCCUCUGUUCCUCCCCACAUCUACUCUGGCCGGAACCGUCAAUCUUACUGUUCUCCUGCAUCUAAACCUUUUUGCCACCAUCUCCCUCUGCCAUCUCUUACUUCAGUCUCCCUCCUGCUCUGCCCGUGUGGAGAGUGAGGGAGGCUUCCAAAAAUGCACGUUCUGUUCAGAUGAAAGGAAAAGGCUGGGGCGGGACGGGUGGAUCCGUCAUGGACCUGUUGGGCUCACGUGGUGUGAUGUCC